GACGAACGCUGGCGGCGUGCCUAACACAUGCAAGUCGAACGGAGAAAUUAUUUCGGUAAUUUCUUAGUGGCGAACGGGUGAGUAACACGUAAACAACCUGCCUUUUAGACGGGGACAACAUCUCGAAAGGGAUGCUAAUACCGAAUGUCUUAGCUUUACCGCAUGGCAGAGCUAAUAAAGGUGGCCUCUAUUUAUAAGCUGCCGCUAAAAAGAGGGGUUUGCGUCUGAUUAGCUAGUUGGUGAGGUAACGGCUCACCAAGACGAUGAUGCGUAGCCGACCUGAGAGGGUGGCCGGCCACACUGGGACUGAGACACGGCCCAG
Molecule: ribosomal RNA, 322 nt
Filed under: uncultured bacterium
Lineage: Bacteria
Description: bacterial SSU rRNA
Rfam family: Bacterial small subunit ribosomal RNA
Source: RNAcentral